Molecule: non-coding RNA, 69 nt
Organism: Rattus norvegicus (Norway rat)
Lineage: Eukaryota; Metazoa; Chordata; Mammalia; Rodentia; Muridae
Source: Rfam
GGGGAUUUAGCUCAGCGGUAGAGCGCUUGCCUAGCAAGCGAAAGGCCCUGGGUUCGGUCCCCAGCGCCG